This 170-nucleotide ribosomal RNA is filed under the name Bacillus sp. MRMR6. Its description in RNAcentral is "partial 16S ribosomal RNA". It matches the Rfam family "Bacterial small subunit ribosomal RNA", at positions 1372 to 1533 of the family's 1533-position model. The record is from RNAcentral. Lineage: Bacteria; Bacillati; Bacillota; Bacilli; Caryophanales; Bacillaceae.
UCCCGGGCCUUGUACACACCGCCCGUCACACCACGAGAGUUUGUAACACCCGAAGUCGGUGGGGUAACCGUAAGGAGCCAGCCGCCUAAGGUGGGACAGAUGAUUGGGGUGAAGUCGUAACAAGGUAGCCGUAUCGGAAGGUGCGGCUGGAUCACCUCCUUUCUAAGGAA